AUGGAACAAAUGAUUGAACAGCCACAACCACCUGAAGGUGAUGAGGCUACUACAGGCACAAUGUCACCUCUUGCUGCAGCGCGUCAGUAUCUCUCCACUAACAGUGCAAAAAGCACCUUCCUGCGUAAUUCUGGGUUGGUUGUCAAGGUAUCCUCGUCCAAAUCACCUACUGAACAAAAUCUUCCUGCUAGACAGAAUGAUAUAUCUGUGCUCCAGACACAAGUCCAAUCCCUAAUGGACAUUGUUUCGGAAACAAGAAUAGUGGUUGAGAAAUGUCGUCAAGAUAUGAAUGGUUUUGAAACUAGACUAUCAGACAUUCGCUUCGUUGUUCAAGAGCAAUGGCGGAAAAAGUGGAGAUCGUGCUGCUCCAUCAGAUUCUACAGCAUGAAACAUUAG
Molecule: ribosomal RNA, 396 nt
Filed under: Triticum aestivum (bread wheat)
Lineage: Eukaryota; Viridiplantae; Streptophyta; Magnoliopsida; Poales; Poaceae
Description: partial small subunit ribosomal RNA
Source: RNAcentral